GAUGAAGAACGUAGCGAAAUGCGAUAAGUAAUGUGAAUUGCAGAAUUCAGUGAAUCAUCGAAUCUUUACACGCACAUUGCGCCCAUUAGUAUUCUAGUGGGCAUGCCUGUUCGAGCGUCAUUAAGUCCACUUAAGCCCUGCUUAGUGUUGGGAGACUGCUCCAGCGGUGCUACCCUGUAGCUACCCUGCAGCUCCUCAAAGACAGCGGCGGAGUUGUGGUAUCCUCUGAGCUUAGUAACUUGUUCUAGCUUUCGAGUACACCACUUCCCCUGCCGUAAAACCCUUAAUUUUUAAUGGUUGACCUCGGAUCAGGUAGGAAUACCCGCUGAACUUAAGCAUAUCAAUAAGCGGAGGA
Molecule: unclassified non-coding RNA, 355 nt
Filed under: soil metagenome
Description: partial contains 5.8S ribosomal RNA, internal transcribed spacer 2, and large subunit ribosomal RNA
Rfam family: 5.8S ribosomal RNA (bases 1-120)
Source: RNAcentral